GGGUCGUUAGCUCAGUUGGUAGAGCAGUUGGCUUUUAACCAAUUGGCCGUGCGUUCGAGUCGCACACGACCCACCA
RNAcentral lists this transfer RNA (76 nucleotides) under Oceanospirillales bacterium. RNAcentral's name for it is "tRNA-Lys". It matches the Rfam family "tRNA". From Rfam's summary of the family: Transfer RNA (tRNA) molecules are approximately 80 nucleotides in length. Their secondary structure includes four short double-helical elements and three loops (D, anti-codon, and T loops). Lineage: Bacteria; Pseudomonadati; Pseudomonadota; Gammaproteobacteria; Oceanospirillales. The record is from RNAcentral. RNAcentral also lists the same sequence under 1 other name.